RNAcentral lists this ribosomal RNA (462 nucleotides) under uncultured bacterium. RNAcentral's name for it is "partial 16S ribosomal RNA". It matches the Rfam family "Bacterial small subunit ribosomal RNA", at positions 28 to 507 of the family's 1533-position model. The record is from RNAcentral.
GACGAACGCUGGCGGCGUGCUUAACACAUGCAAGUCGAACGGAAAGGCCCUUCGGGGUACUCGAGUGGCGAACGGGUGAGUAACACGUGGGUGAUCUGCCCUGCACUUUGGGAUAAGCCUGGGAAACUGGGUCUAAUACCGAAUAUGAUCAUCGGCUUCAUGGUCGGUGGUGGAAAGCUUUUGCGGUGUGGGAUGGGCCCGCGGCCUAUCAGCUUGUUGGUGGGGUAAUGGCCUACCAAGGCGACGACGGGUAGCCGGCCUGGGAGGGUGACCGGCCACACUGGGACGGAGAUACGACACAGACUCCUACGGGAGGCAGCAGUGGGGAAUAUUGCACAAUGGGCUCAAGCCUGAUGCAGCGACGCCGCGUGAGGGAUGACGGCCUGCGGGUUGUAUUCCUCUUUCAGCACAGACGAAGCGAAAGUGACGGUAUGUGCAGAAGAAGGACCGGCUAACUACGUG